AGCAACACCAAAGCAGUGGCCACUUCAAUGAAUAUGACCAUCUUGACUGAAAUGUGAAGAGGUAAGGAGGUUGAACAUAAAGAUAUACCGAGGUAUGAUUGUUCCCUACUUUACUUCACUGCUAGUAGACUUGAUGUAAUAUUUAGCGCUUGUUAAAUAUGAAUCAUGUCCAAAAGGAGUCGUAUAUUUAGCGUUUGUUAGUAUGAAUCAUGUCCAAAAGGAGUCGUCCUAAUGCGGUUAAAACGGAAAUGAAGUAUAUUGUUAGUAAGUUUGUAUGUGGGACUUUACUAUCCCAAAGAUUCUUCAUGCCAAUCACUUGGCUAUUCCGUCUCUAAUUUCGCUUAAUGCAAAUUAGUCCGCAAGAGCACUUUUGGCACUUGCCUUUUUGCUCGAUAACUCCUUAGUUUCUUUGCCUAGCAAGAAACUUGUUUGUGUCGCUUUGUCCACAACCGAGGCCGAAUAUUCUGCCACGGGAAGUUGUUGAAUCCUUUAGAUGAAAUAACAACUUUUGGAUUAUGGUCUUAGUCUUGAUCACGUCCCUCUUCGAUGUGAUAACUCUUAGUGCCAUAAGCUUGACGAAGAUUUCAAUUCUUCAUUUAAGUACAAAGCUAAUUAUGCACCAUUGUAUGAAAGAUCACGUUCUCAAAGGUGAUGUCGAAAUUAAAAUUUGAUGACAUCUUUUCAAGCCUUUAGAUUA
RNAcentral lists this long non-coding RNA (697 nucleotides) under Nicotiana benthamiana. RNAcentral describes it as "long non-coding RNA (NBEN_LNC025564)". Lineage: Eukaryota; Viridiplantae; Streptophyta; Magnoliopsida; Solanales; Solanaceae. The record is from RNAcentral.